This 21-nucleotide microRNA is filed under the name Acyrthosiphon pisum (pea aphid). RNAcentral's name for it is "api-miR-317". Its record names the gene api-miR-317. The record is from miRBase by way of RNAcentral. RNAcentral also lists the same sequence under 4 other names. Lineage: Eukaryota; Metazoa; Arthropoda; Insecta; Hemiptera; Aphididae.
UGAACACAGCUGGUGGUAUCU